UGACCAUCGUGGUGACCACCCUGGCACACAGCCAUGGAGCACUGAGUGACCACAGUGACCACCACACUGACCACCCUGGCCACCACACUGACCACCCUGGGACACCGCCAUGGAGCAGUGACCAGCGUGGUGACCACCACACUGACCACCCUGGCCACCACACUGACCACCCUGGCCACCCUGGGACACCACCAUGGAGCACUGAGUGACCACAGUGACCACUCUGGGACACCACCAUGGAGCAGUGACCAGCACUGUGGUGACCAUCACUGUGACCGUCAUGGGGACACCGCCAUGGAGCAGGGAGUGACCAUGGUGGUCAUCACUGUGACCACUGUGGUGACCACCCUGGGACAUGGCCAUGGGGCAGUGACCAGCACAGGGACACCACCAUGGAGCAGUGAGUGACCAUGGUGGUCAUCGUGGUGGCCACCCUGGCACACAGCCACAGAGCACUGACCAUCACUGUGGUCAUCGAGAAGACAGCUCCUGACCACAGUGACCACCAUGGGACAUCCCCACAGUGACCACCACAGUGACCAUCAUGGCCACCAUGGGGACAGCUCCUGACCACAGUGACCAUCACAGUGACCACCAUAGGGACAGUUCCUGACCACAGUGACCAUUAUGGGACACCACCAUGGAGCACUGACCACCACAGUGACCAUCACAGUGACCAUCACAGUGACCAUCACAGCCACCAUGGGGACAGCUCCUGACCACAGUGACCACCACAGUGACCACAGUGACCACCAUGGGGACAGCUCCUGACCACAGUGACCAUCAUGGGGAUACCACCACAGAGCAGUGACCACCACAGUGACCACCACGGCCACCAUGGGGACACCACCAUGGAGCAGUGACCACCACAGUGACCACCCUGGGGACAGUUCCUGACCACAGUGACCACCAUGAGGACACCACCAUGGAGCAGUGACCACCACAGUGACCACAGUGACCACCCUGGGGACAGCUCCUGACCACAGUGACCAUCACAGUGACCAUCACAGUGACCACAGUGACUACCACAGUGACCACCACGAGGACACCACCAUGGAACAGUGACCAUUGCAGUGACCACCACAGUGACCACCACAGUGACCACCAUGAGGACACCACCAUGGAGCAGUGACCACCACAGUGACCACCACAGUGACCACCAUGGGGACAGCUCCUGACCACAGUGACCAUCAUGAGGACACCACCAUGGAGCAAUGACCACCACAGUGACCAUCAUGACCACCAUGGGGACAGCUCCUGACCACAGUGACCAUCACAGUGACCACCCUGGGGACAGCUCCUGACCGCAGUGACCACCACAGUGACCACAGUGACCACCCUGGGGACAGUUCCUGACCGCAGUGACCAUCAUGAGCCCAUGGCCACAGUGCAGUGACACUGUCCUGUCUGUCCCUCUGUCCGACUGACGCUCCGUCCGACUGUCCCUGCGGUUUUGGGGUCCCCCAGCUCCAUCCCAAUAAACCUGGUGGUGUCACCCCUGUUC
This 1504-nucleotide long non-coding RNA is filed under the name Parus major (Great Tit). RNAcentral's name for it is "lncRNA (ENSPMJG00000001974.1)". The record is from RNAcentral. Lineage: Eukaryota; Metazoa; Chordata; Aves; Passeriformes; Paridae.